AAUGAACGCUGGCGGCAGGCCUAACACAUGCAAGUCGAGCGAAGUCUUCGGACUUAGCGGCGGACGGGUGAGUAACGCGUGGGAACAUGCCCUUUGGUGCGGAAUAGCCCCGGGAAACUUGGAGUAAUACCGCAUGUGCCCUUCGGGGGAAAGAUUUAUCGCCAAAGGAUUGGCCCGCGUUGGAUUAGGUAGUUGGUGGGGUAAUGGCCUACCAAGCCGACGAUCCAUAGCUGGUUUGAGAGGAUGAUCAGCCACACUGGGACUGAGACACGGACCAGACUCCUACGGGAGGCAGGAGUGGGGAAUCGUAGACAAUGGGCGCAAGUCUGAUCGAGCCAUGCCGCGUGAUCGAUGAAGGCCUUAGGGUUGUAAAGAUCUUUCAGUGGGGAAGAUAAUGACGGUACCCACAGAAGAAGCCCCGGCUAACUACGUG
Molecule: ribosomal RNA, 433 nt
Filed under: uncultured bacterium
Lineage: Bacteria
Description: partial 16S ribosomal RNA
Rfam family: Bacterial small subunit ribosomal RNA
Source: RNAcentral